UACGUAGGCAGCAAGCGUUGUUCGGAAUUACUGGGCGUAAAGAGUGUGUAGGCGGUGCUCCAAGUCUGGUGUGAAGUCUCCCGGCUUAACUGGGAGGGUGCAUUAGAAACUGGAAUGCUAGAGGAUAGGAGAGGUAAGCGGAAUUCCUGGUGUAGUGGUGAAAUGCGUAGAUAUCAGGAGGAACACCUGUGGUGUAGACAGCUUACUGGACUAUUUCUGACGCUGAGACACGAAAGCGUGGGUAGCAAACAGG
RNAcentral lists this ribosomal RNA (253 nucleotides) under uncultured bacterium. RNAcentral's name for it is "partial 16S ribosomal RNA". It matches the Rfam family "Bacterial small subunit ribosomal RNA", at positions 524 to 776 of the family's 1533-position model. The record is from RNAcentral.